AGAGUUUGAUUCUGGCUCAGGAUGAACGCUAGCUACAGGCUUAACACAUGCAAGUCGAGGGGCAGCAUUGGAGUAGCAAUACUCAGAUGGCGACCGGCGCACGGGUGAGUAACACGUAUCCAACCUGCCGCUUACUCGGGGAUAGCCUUUCGAAAGAAAGAUUAAUACCCGAUGGUAUAAAGAGUUCGCAUGUUCUCUUUAUUAAAGAAUUUCGGUAAGCGAUGGGGAUGCGUUCCAUUAGAUAGUUGGCGGGGUAACGGCCCACCAAGUCUACGAUGGAUAGGGGUUCUGAGAGGAAGGUCCCCCGCAUUGGAACUGAGACACGGUCCAAACUCCUACGGGAGGCAGCAGUGAGGAAUAUUGGUCAAUGGACGAGAGUCUGAACCAGCCAAAAGUAGCGUGAAGGAUGACUGCCCUAUGGGUUGUAAACUUCUUUUAUAAGGGAAUAAAGUGAGGGACGUGUCCCUUUUUGUAUGUACCUUAUGAAUAAGGAUCGGCUAACUCCGUGCCAGCCGCGGC
Molecule: ribosomal RNA, 519 nt
Filed under: uncultured bacterium
Lineage: Bacteria
Description: bacterial SSU rRNA
Rfam family: Bacterial small subunit ribosomal RNA
Source: RNAcentral